Molecule: long non-coding RNA, 4044 nt
Filed under: Triticum aestivum (bread wheat)
Lineage: Eukaryota; Viridiplantae; Streptophyta; Magnoliopsida; Poales; Poaceae
Description: long non-coding RNA (TAES_LNC011265)
Source: RNAcentral
CGGCAAGUCACCCCAUUUGAUCAGCAGCUGAGUUGUGGCCGUGUUGCCAUCGCGAACCAUGCAGCGUUGCAGAAUGGCCGAAGGAAGCUUGUCGCUGAGCAUCAGGUCCGGUGGUGGCAACUCACUAAAAACUGGCGAGUAAUCUGCCGAGAAAGGCUUCAACUGGGACACAUGAAAUACCCGGUGUACCUGGGCAGCGGCCGGCAACUGCAGACAGUACGCAACUUCCCCAAUUCGCUCCAGGAUAGUAAACGGGCCAAAAUACUUGUAUGAAAGCUUGUGGCACGGACGAUUAACAACUGAAUAGUGUGCGUACGGCUGGAGCUUCAGGAGAACUUGCUCGCCAGCAAUGAACUGACGCUCAAUGCAGCGGCGGUCUGCUUGCGACUUUGUGCGCUGUUGAGCUCGAAGUAGAUGUGCCCUCAACAAUUCAGUGUGUUCCUGAUAAUCUGCUGCAGUGUCCGCGACUGGUGAUGUCGAAUCAACAGCAAUAUUGGGCAUUCCACAAAAAUUGGGCUCAGUCUUGUAGAGAGCACGAAAUGGGGAGCAGCCAAGCGAAACAUGGUGACUGGUAUUAUACCAAAACUCCGCCAUAGCAAGCCAUCGACGCCAAGUCUUGGGACGAUCCUGGAUAGCACAACGCAGAUAUUGCUCAACACAUUGGUUCACACGCUCACUCUGGCCGUCAGUUUGCGGAUGAUGUUCUGUAUUGUAAUGCAGUUUUGUGCCCACUGCCUUGAACAGAUCCUUCCAAAUGUGACUCAUGAAAAUCUUGUCAUGGUUAGAUAUAAUUGACAAGGGAACUCCAUGGAGACGCACGAUUUGGUCCACGAACAGCUUGGAGACAGUGGAGGCUGUGUAAGGAUGAUGCAAAGGAAGGAAGUGCGUGUACUUGGUCAAUUGGUCGACCACGACCAGAAUCACAUUAGCGCCCUCAAACAUCGGUAGACCUUCCACAAAAUCCAUUGUGAUUUACUACGAUGGAGCGUGAGGAGGUGGCAACCGCUGGAGCAGACCGGCAGGUCGAGUGUGUGGGUGCUUAGCAUGUUGACAGGUUGGGCAUUGUUUCACAAAAAGCUCCACAGCCAACUUCAUUCCGGGCCAGUAGUAAAGUUUCUUGGCCCGUUGAUAAGUUGCCUGAAUGCCAGAAUGACCACCGACGGCGCUAUCAUGCAGAGAAGCAAUCAAUUUCUUCUGUAGUGCCAAAUUUUCCCCAAUGACCAAUCUUCCUUUGAACUUGAUUAACUCAUUCUCCAAAGUAUAACCUUUAACGUCAGCAGAGUGAAUUGUAAGCUGCUGCAAUAGUGCAGCCAUCUCUGUAUCAGUGUGAUGCGAAUUCAGUACUUCAUGUACCCAAUCUGGCGUGCAAACUGAAAUUGCCUGUGUUGCAAAUUGAUGAGCAAUACGCGACAGAGAUUCUGCCGCCCCAUUAUCCACCCCUCGUUUGUACUUGAAUUGAAAUUGAAGUCCAAUUAAUUUGGACAUGGCUUUUCGUUGUAGAUCCGAUGUGAGUUGCUGGUCAGUUAAGUUGCAAAGGCUCUUAUGAUCGGUCAAAAUGGUAAAAGGGCCUCGCUGAAGGUACUGACGCCACUUGUCCACGGCCAUGAUCACCGCGAGAAAUUCUUUCUCGUAAAUGGAUUAAUGAAUCCUAAUGCCUUGCUCAUAUAAGCAAUAGGAUGGCCACGCUGCAUUAACAUUGCUCCCACACCAGUGUCGCAAGCAUCGGUCUCAACAGAAAAUGGAACCGAAAAAUCCGGCAGAGCCAAAACAGGGGUGUGUGCCAUCACAGAUUUCAGAGAGAGGAAGGCCUAUGUGGCCUGAUCAUUCCACUCGAAACCCUUCUUUGUAAGCACCUGUGUCAAAGGCUUGGAAAUUAGUCCAUAGUUUUGCACAAAUUUACGGUAGUAUCCUGUUAAGCCGAGGAAACCCCUGAGCUCGGUUGCAUUUGUUGGAAUUGGACAUUGUUCCAUUGAUGCCGUCUUCUCUGGAUCAGUAGUGACACCCUCUGAAGAUAUAAUAUGACCCAAGUAUUGUAUGCUCUGCCGGACAAAUGAGUGUUUCAUCAGCUUAGCGAAGAAUUGGGACUAACGCAGUGUUUCCAAAACCAAACGUGGGUGUUGCAAAUGGUCAGCCCAAGAAGGACUGUAGACCAGUAUGUCAUCCAUGAAAAGUAUUGCAAAUUUGCGCAGAAAUGGAGCGAACACUAAGUUCAUCACACACUGAAAAGUUGUCGGGGCGUUGGUGAGCCCAAAAGGUAUCACCCGGAAUUGAAAAUUACCAUGAUGUGUUUUGAAUGCAGUCUUUGACUCGUCAGCUGGAUGCAUGCGGAUUUGAUGAUAUCCCGCACGGAGAUCCAACUUGGAAAAGAAUUUGGUUCCAGCAAGUUCAUCCAGUAACUCAUCAACGAUGGGUAGGGGAAAUUUAUUCUUGAUAGUAAGAUUGUUGAGAUGAUGAUAAUCAAUGCAAAACCGCCAAGUUCCGUCCUUCUUCUGUACGAGUAGGACUGGAGAUGCGAAUGGGCUCAUGCUGGGUAUAAUCACACCGGUCCGCAACAUCUCUACAACCUGCCGCUCGAUCUCAUCUUUCAGCAACGGAGAAUAGCGGUAAGGUCUGGCAUUAACUGGUUGAGCAUCGUGUUUCAGAGUAAUUGCAUGAUCCAAGGAUCUCCUGGGUGGCAAAGAAUUUGGCUCAGAAAAUAUGUCGGAAAACUCCUGUAAUAAGGUGUGAAGAUCAGGUGCCAUUGGAAACAGUUGCUUGUCGUCAGGAAUAAAAUUAUCUACCACUGCUAAAGCCCAAACUUCAUUUGUAUCCAGCCAUUGCAGCAAUUGUUCAGCAUGCAAUUCCGGUAAAACCCCUUGCUCUGCGGCAACAAUUUCUUGUAACACAAUCAUAUUGCCCUGGUGAUGAAACUGUAAGGUUUUCUUACCCCAAUGACAAUUCAUGGGACUGAAACGUGCUAGCCAAUCGACUCCAAGAAUGGCAUCAUAUGCUCCCAGGUCCAAGAUACACAUAUUAGUAUAGAACUCAUGCCCUUGGGAGCACCAUGUAAGCCCUUGAACUUGAGAAUCUGAGUGCAUCAACUGUCCAUUGGCUACUCUGACCGGCACUGCUGGAGCAGCUGUGAUAAUACACUUUGCACGCUCAGCAGAAGACUUUGUAACAAAAGUGUGAGAACUGCCCAAGUCAAUCAAUAGCAACAUGGCUUGGCCACCCACAGUAGCUUGCAAACGAAUUGUCUGCCCUGAUUCAGUUCCACCGAGAGCAUGACCCGAUAACUGACAGCACUCACCACUAGUUGGGCUUCAUCAAGUAAACUCAGGGCAUGCACUGCAUCAUCUGAAAGAACUUCCCCAUAAUCACCCACUUCAAUAGUCAGUAAUUGACCGGUGCGACGACAUUGAUGUUCCUUGCUGUAUUUAUGACCACACUUGAAACAAAGACCAUUAGCAUGACGAAAAUACCGGAGCUGACGUUCACGGUUGAAAUCAUCGAUCAUUACCAGUGCGACGCGGACAAUCCGUGUGUGGUGCUGUUGCCAUAGUUGUCUGCACUGUUAUGGUAGGUGGAUGCUUGGUUGGAGCAGGAGGACGCCCACGAGGCAUGUGCGUCUCUCCUUCUUCUUCCUGGAUCCUGGCCAGGGAUGCCGCGCGCGUGACACUGGAGGGCGCCUGCAACUGUACCGCACAACGGAUGUCAUCUCGCAAACCGAGCAUAAACUAAGCCACAAACCAGCGCUGAUUCAGUGAUGGAUCUAGAGUUGUCAGAUGAUACAUAGAUGACUCAAAGCGGGUUUCAUCUCGCAAACCGAGCAUAAACUGGCGAGUAAUCUGCCGAGAAAGGCUUCAACUGGGACACAUGAAAUACCGGGUGUACCUGGGCAGCGGCUGGCAACUGCAGACAGUACGCAACUUCCCCAAUUCGCUCCAGGAUAGUAAACGUGCCAAAAUACUUGUAUGAAAGCUUGUGGCACGGACGAUUAACAACUGAAUGUUGUGCGUACGGCUGGAGCUUCAGGAGAAUUUGCUCGCCAACAAUGAACUGACG